UUGGCUGGAGAGGAGAAGCCUCUGUAGCCGCCCAGUUGUCUGGAAACCACUAAGAUUCUAAAGGCUGCAGCGACAUCAACUCUAAAUUCCGGAUGAAGGACACUCUAUACCUGCCCUGCCCUGGAAGGAGGCAGAUCUACUCUCAAGUGCUCAGGGUGGCCACAAGUAAGCCCAAACAGAGGUGAUAAGGAGGCAGGCAGAGCAGCGAAGGGAUCGGAACAUCAGGAUUUAAAGACCCUAGGCUUGUUCUGGCCAAACCUGGGCUCUGGUGGCGGAGAGUUAGCUUCCUUCACUGGGGCAAAAUGCAGCCUAGCAGGCCUUCAGGGGCUGACCUGCAUGGAUUCUUCGAUGGUUGAUCCUUCCUCUGCUCUACCCCCCCCCAUCCCCUGGAGGCUGGCUCCAAGGAACCUGUACCUUUUGGCUCCGCUCCCUUCCUGAACCCAGCCCAGAUGGGAACAGUACAUCAAACAGGAAGUGCAACAACUCCAGAUUUGGAUGCCCCGCCCACAUCUGGAAAGACCUGCAAUACAGAGGAUCCAAUGCCAGAAUUCAGCCUCUUCCAGGAUUGCAGAACCAAUAUAAGUCCAGUGUUGUGGUUUACAUGUUGUGUAUAGAAACUAACUUAAUUCUUCGAGUUCAUGGAUAAUAAAGAAAAUCUAGCUGGG
Molecule: long non-coding RNA, 665 nt
Organism: Mesocricetus auratus (golden hamster)
Lineage: Eukaryota; Metazoa; Chordata; Mammalia; Rodentia; Cricetidae
Exons: 3
Source: RefSeq, a predicted model, not a curated record